Molecule: ribosomal RNA, 1243 nt
Filed under: Niphargus schellenbergi
Lineage: Eukaryota; Metazoa; Arthropoda; Malacostraca; Amphipoda; Niphargidae
Description: eukaryotic LSU rRNA
Rfam family: Eukaryotic large subunit ribosomal RNA
Source: RNAcentral
AAGGCUUCAGUACGACCCUGUCAGAACUAUAAGUCUCAAAGCCCCGACGAGUAGGGUGGCGUGCCGGUGUGCGUUGAAGGCCAAGACGUGAGUCAGGCUGGAGCCGCCGGUAGUGCAGAUCUUGGUGGUAGUAGCAAGUACUCUGGUGAACCAACCUGGAGCUGUGAGGUCUGGAUCAGGGUUCCAUGUCAACAGUGAUUGAACAUGGGUGAGUCGAUCCUAAGCCAACUGUGAAAGCAGUGACAUUCCGACAAAGGGGCAUGUGUUCGUGCACGCACACUCACUCUCUGGACGAUGGACGGACUCUGUUGCGCACACGCAAUGAUCACACUGAAUGUUGUGAGCGUGUGUGAGGCUUUCUGCUUACGCUCAAAAGCGUUGAUGUAUGGGAUGACUGCUAUAUGGAUAAAAGUGAGUUGUGUUGUUGCACGACGCUCUCUCUCUGCGUCUGGUUCUAUGUCUGGCGAAAGGGAAUGGGGACUUUGUUCCUUGACCGGUCCCGGCACCCUCGAUAGGCUUUGCCAAUCAAUGGUCCAUGCAAAUGGAACCAGGCCACAGCCGCCGGCAGUCGCCCGAGGAAGAGUUUUCUUUUCUGCUUAACGCACGAGAUCAUCCCUGGAAACAGUUCGGCUGGCGAAAGGGUGCCCCGUUGCGGCAGAGCGCCACGACUGUCGUGCGCGUCUCGGUGUUCCUGCCGGUCCGUGAAGACGUGGUCGAGGGGAUUGCUCUUUGUAUCAACGAAACGCCCGACAAGUUCGGGACGGACCGUACCCUAUAUCCGCAUCUGGUCUCCAAGGUUCGUAGCCUCUGCAGAGUCAGACACAUGUAGGUAAGGGAAGUCGGCAAACUCGAUCCGUAACUUCGGGAAAAGGAUUGGCUCUGAGGGCCGAGCUGGGCCGGGCCUUGCCUGCAAAGCAGUACCUAUAGUGACCGGAGUUUCAGGAGUGCGAGGGGCUCUAGUAGCUGCUCGCGCGUUCACGCGCGUGGGUACGAACGAGUCCACCGCUCCGCUCCAACCACGAACGGCUGUGACGGCAAGGGCUCUGGGCGGGAGCGUUCAAACCGUUGGCCCCCAGCUCGUCUGGGUGGCGGCGGUGCUUCGUCUGACCCAUACGGCUCCAGCGGCUAGCGGCUAACUCAGAACUGUCAUGGACCAAGGGAAUCCGACUGUCUAAUUAAAACAAAGCGUCGUGACGGCCCCUGUUGGGUGUUGACGCGACGUGAUUUCUGCCCAGUGCUCUAA